UAGGGAAUAUUGGACAAUGGGGGCAACCCUGAUCCAGCCACGCCGCGUGAGUGAAGAAGGCCCUCGGGUUGUAAAGCUCUUUUGUCCGGAAAGAAAAGCAUUCGGUGAAUACCCGGAUGUUCUGACGGUACCGGAAGAAUAAGCACCGGCUAACUUCGUGCCAGCAGCCGCGGUAAUACGAAGGGUGCAAGCGUUACUCGGAAUUACUGGGCGUAAAGCGUGCGUAGGUGGUUGUUUAAGUCUGAUGUGAAAGCCCUGGGCUCAACCUGGGAAUGGCAUUGGAAACUGGGCAGCUAGAGUGCGGUAGAGGGUAGUGGAAUUCCCGGUGUAGCAGUGAAAUGCGUAGAGAUCGGGAGGAACAUAUGUGGCGAAGGCGACUGCCUGGACCAGCACUGACACUGAGGCACGAAAGCGUGGGGAGCAAAC
This 426-nucleotide ribosomal RNA is filed under the name uncultured bacterium. RNAcentral describes it as "bacterial SSU rRNA". It matches the Rfam family "Bacterial small subunit ribosomal RNA", at positions 355 to 773 of the family's 1533-position model. The record is from RNAcentral.